Molecule: long non-coding RNA, 969 nt
Filed under: Bos taurus (domestic cattle)
Lineage: Eukaryota; Metazoa; Chordata; Mammalia; Artiodactyla; Bovidae
Description: long non-coding RNA NONBTAT024895
Source: RNAcentral
UGUAAAGCAUUGAUUGAGAGUUUCCCAAACUGUGGGUUCCAUGCUGGGCACUAUACAGGGUGCUGUAGGGGGUAACUCAUAAGAAGGCCUUCUCUUACCUUAAAUCUUAGCCAUAUUAUGUGUAUUGCUAAAAUUAAAAAUGUUGCAUUAAAAGUUUUAAGAAAGAAAUCAGGUUUGUUUUUGUUAAUGAUGCAAUGAUAAGUUUACAGCUGUGAUUAGCACAUAUUUAUAAAAGGUAAAUAUUAUGCACAAUGAGUUAGUGUGCAUAUACAAAUUACGUUCCUCCAAAGUGUUUUUAGCUCUAUAAAGUGAAAUGGUAAACAUAUAGACUUGAGGUUAAUAUAUGGUUCUUCCUGGUCAUAAUUGUUAGUAUGAAUACUAGGUUUUUAGAGGGGGACUCUGAGCCCUAAGAGAAGAGUUUAGAGCUGUCAAAGUUGGUUCUGAUGUAGUAUCUCCCUGAAAUAUCAAGAGCAGAGGUGCCCCAGACUACUACCCAGUCGUAUCAGGAAACUUGAACUGUCCCAGUGCUCCAGCAAGACGAUCUCAGCAUUUGACCCAGAAAGAGAACGUUUCCCUAAAAACAGAUAAUUGAUGAAAUAUAAGUAGCUUCAGUAAAAACUAAGUACAGAAAUCCUAUCACAGUGUUCUGCAUUUUAUUGCUUUAUUAAAGAUAAGUUUGAAGGUCACACUCACUACUCAACUGUAAACUGAAUGGAGGGGAAAAAAGCUCCCCACACAGUAUGCGCCUCUCUUUUCUGAGAGAGAACGGGGCAUAGGAUUUUCAGCAUAAACCCAUGCCAUGUAAGUCCAGCAUCAGUUCCAAAAUUUCUAUCACACUCUGUUUCUGGAAGUGAUCUCUGCCAGACUGCCUUAGAUACCAGUUUUGUUUAUUUUUAAGUUUGCAGGAAUUCUUAACACCCAUUUCCAUUAAAGGUGGUUAGCUGGCAGAGUUUUCCCUUGACUUUUGAG